This 73-nucleotide transfer RNA is filed under the name Bos taurus (domestic cattle). It matches the Rfam family "tRNA". Rfam says of the family: Transfer RNA (tRNA) molecules are approximately 80 nucleotides in length. Their secondary structure includes four short double-helical elements and three loops (D, anti-codon, and T loops). RNAcentral also lists the same sequence under 4 other names. Lineage: Eukaryota; Metazoa; Chordata; Mammalia; Artiodactyla; Bovidae. The record is from Rfam by way of RNAcentral.
UCCCUGGGGGUCCAGUGGCUAAGACUCCACACUCCCAAUGCAGGGGGCCCAGGUUCAAUUCCUGGUCGGGGAA